AGCGAACGCUGGCGGCAGGCUUAACACAUGCAAGUCGAACGGGCGUAGCAAUACGUCAGUGGCAGACGGGUGAGUAACGCGUGGGAACAUACCUCUUGGUUCGGAACAACACAGGGAAACUUGUGCUAAUACCGGAUAAGCCCUUACGGGAAGAUUUAUUGCCGAAGGAAUAGCCCGCGUCCGAUUAGCUAGUUGGUGUGGUAAUGGCGCACCAAGGCGACGAUCGGUAGCUGGCUGAGAGGAUGAUCAGCCACCA
Molecule: ribosomal RNA, 256 nt
Filed under: uncultured bacterium
Lineage: Bacteria
Description: partial 16S ribosomal RNA
Rfam family: Bacterial small subunit ribosomal RNA
Source: RNAcentral